AGUUUGUGUGCGCUACGCUACUGUUCUCCAGAAGUAAGAACAGCUGGGCGAAUCGGUGCGGUUACAGUAUUCAUAUAUGUUACACUGCAUGGUGAAGCGAGAGAAAGAAAAACAGGAUGUCUAAUAGCUGCGCAUACAUUUGAGAUAGAGAGUACCAUCCGGUAUGCUCUCUGUAUACAUGUGCAUGCGUAUUUGGUGCCAUUGAUCGUAUGCGUUUUAUGGCCACAAGAAAUCAUCAUGCGAAGAAAGUUGUAUUUUAUGAUUGUAUUGACGUACAUGGCGGUGUGUGCUAUGUGCCGCCGAUCCCUUCGUUCGAAAGUCACACCCCAAUGUAACCUCGAAGUGAAGAGAGUGAAA
Long non-coding RNA from Rhipicephalus microplus (southern cattle tick), 357 nucleotides. The record is from RefSeq and is a predicted model, not a curated record. Lineage: Eukaryota; Metazoa; Arthropoda; Arachnida; Ixodida; Ixodidae.